Molecule: ribosomal RNA, 292 nt
Filed under: uncultured microorganism
Description: partial 16S ribosomal RNA
Rfam family: Bacterial small subunit ribosomal RNA
Source: RNAcentral
UUGCAACCACCCGCGUUAUUACUAAGGUGCCAGCCUUGUCCGGAAAUUAUUGGGCGUAAAGCGCGCGCAGGUGGUUCCUUAAGUCUGAUGUGAAAGCCCACGGCUCAACCGUGGAGGGUCAUUGGAAACUGGGGAACUUGAGUGCAGAAGAGGAAAGUGGAAUUCCAAGUGUAGCGGUGAAAUGCGUAGAUAUUUGGAGGAACACCAGUGGCGAAGGCGACUUUCUGGUCUGUAACUGACACUGAGGCGCGAAAGCGUGGGGAGCAAACAGGAUUAGAUACCCUGGUAGUCC